RNAcentral lists this ribosomal RNA (495 nucleotides) under uncultured Streptococcus sp. RNAcentral describes it as "partial 16S ribosomal RNA". Lineage: Bacteria; Bacillati; Bacillota; Bacilli; Lactobacillales; Streptococcaceae. The record is from RNAcentral.
CACGUAGUUAGCCGUCCCUUUCUGGUAAGAUACCGCCACAGUGUGAACUUUCCACUCUCACACUCGUUCUUCUCUUACAACAGAGCUUUACGAUCCGAAAACCUUCUUCACUCACGCGGCGUUGCUCGGUCAGACUUCCGUCCAUUGCCGAAGAUUCCCUACUGCUGCCUCCCGUAGGAGUCUGGGCCGUGUCUCAGUCCCAGUGUGGCCGAUCACCCUCUCAGGUCGGCUAUGUAUCGUCGCCUUGGUGAGCCGUUACCUCACCAACUAGCUAAUACAACGCAGGUCCAUCUGGUAGUGGAGCAAUUGCCCCUUUCAAGCAGAUAUCAUGCAAUAUCUACUGUUAUGCGGUAUUAGCUAUCGUUUCCAAUAGUUAUCCCCCGCUACCAGGCAGGUUACCUACGCGUUACUCACCCGUUCGCAACUCAUCCGGAAAGAGCAAGCUCCUUCCUUCAGCGUUCUACUUGCAUGUAUUAGGCACGCCGCCAGCGUUCA